Mizuhopecten yessoensis (Yesso scallop) is the source of this 4525-nucleotide long non-coding RNA. RefSeq lists it as uncharacterized. NCBI's taxonomy places the organism in Eukaryota, Metazoa, Mollusca, Bivalvia, Pectinida, Pectinidae. The transcript has 4 exons. The record is from RefSeq and is a predicted model, not a curated record.
UGUCAAGGAAGAAGCUAGGUGUGACGUGUGUAGUUACCCAUAUCACGUGACGUGUCUGUGAUAAAAAAAAAACAUGAGAGUAAACAUUAAGUUAACAAUACUACACAAAAGUAUAACUUUUAAAAGUGUUUAAUUUGUAUUCUGUAUGCACAACGCCAUGCAGCGUGUAUGAUAUAUCACACAACUCUGUAAUUUCAUUCAAACAACAGCAGACGUCACUUAUGCACAGAUAUGAAAGGAUAAACUUGAACUUGUAAACCUUUGUAUCCAUAUGUAACAACGCAUUUGCAUUACAUCUAGGUCAACAGUUAGGACCCUUAUCGGGUCUAAAAUACAGAGCUCGAGCACUAUUCAAGGUCGGUCAUCUACCGAGAACCGAUAGGUGUUCUACCCGGCAUACACACCACAUCAUUCUGGGGAAGCGGACACUUGUGCAGUCUUUUCGAAAAAUAUUGUGGUAUAUAUACAUAGGUCUGAACACCAAAAUGCGGGGCCCCGGCCCUUUGCUGGUCGUGUGGCUUGCCGCCAUUCUCGUUGCCACCGCAUGCGGACAACGCUGUACCCGUCCUCCAAUAUGGAGGACGGUGAACGGCACAAGUCCCAUGCAGGAAUCGGAAGGCAACGUACGAGUGGUGGCGCUGCUGAAGGCCAGCUGAGGUUUUUGUGUGAGAGUCGCCACGACACUCGAACAAAUCCGAUCUAGCUUCGAACGUCGUGGCAUAACUGGCGUAGAAUUCAUGAUUGUCAACAUGAAUCUCGAUGACGCUCGAGAGCAUGUUCAGAAUCUGAUAAACGUCGUAAACACAGCAGAAAUGCCCAUUUAUCAGGACAGCGAUGAUCUAGAAAUAUGGACGACACUUGGCGGAGAUAAAGACUACAUCUACAUGUAUGACGGAUGUGGAAUGCUGCGAUACCUGCUGACAUCUGAUGACAUCAUAAUCCGCGACGCUAAUGCCAUAAACAUUCGUCUUAUCAAGCGCCGCAUACGCCAAGUAACAAGGCGCGAUCGGUGCGCCCGGCAGUGUCGGAGGUACAGACGGCGCCUGAUGUCGACGGUAGAUAUGGACCGGAUGCAGGGACAGCAACCGGAUGUUAUUUCUAUGUCGCGUCAAAGAAGUUCCAGUUCCGAUGAUAACAGGACGCCUACGUGUAUGGAGCAGAAUUGCCGAGGACGUAACGGACCACAUAAUAGACACAGAAUGGUCCAUCGGUUAUGACAGCAUUUGCAGAGACGAGGUCUUCUGGGAGAAUCCACACAAUCUUGAUUGUGUCCGCGCAACUAUCAGGACGUAUGUACGUGCACACGUUAUCGCCAGACAGGAAGAAUGCGUUUCUGUGCAUGCUCAGAAAUCACGCCUUCAAUUAGCGUACGUUGUCUUUGAUAUGACUGUAACCAGUUUAGAAACGGACAUGACGUAGAGAUCCCCGUUGUCCGACCGUCUUGACGACUAUUGACCAGCUGACACUGUAACAGUGACAAUAACCUUCAGUCGGCGACAUGUCAGUGACCGACAACUCAGUCGUCUGCCGUCGCCGUGGCGACGUCGAUUUCCUGAUCUUGUGACGAUGGUGCCUGUGUAUGACAAGGAACUAGCGACUCUUGUAUGUGACGGUCGACCGAUGCUGGAACAUCAUGACAAUGACAAAUCGACGCGACGUCUUGUUUUUGACCUAGCGACGCGUCGCAUGGUGACAUGUGACACUGUCAAACGACGUCGACAGGCGUCAGUGAGAACACCUGACAGUGACAUGGACAACAGAGCGGUCAGAGUAGUGACAGUGUUGUCUGAGAAUGACAGCACACGACUGGGAACUGCCACUGAGACUGUGAGGUUUCCAGAGAUGGAAACCUCCAGUGUCAAUGACCAAUAGGCCCAACUCCAACCGCCGUUGUCCACUGACGAACCGGAAGUGACACAGGAAGUAGGUGACAUUGACCAACAACCGUCACGACUGGUAAAACUUGAGAUUGCAGGUCACGUGGUAACGGCGUUCAACGUCCUUGCUCGUGAGGAACAGACCAUCAGACUUGCAGAUGACAGUCAUUAACUUCUGACAUAACAUCAGACGUAAUUUGACAGUGCGACGGCCAGGAAGACGCGUCAGAAAUGUGAACGUGACAGAGUCUGUUCGGUCAUCCGGACGGCACCUGACAGUGUCACUCCGUCAGCACGGACUGACAGUGACAGGGUCUGACCACAGACGGAAGCAUCUGACAGGAGACUGGGGUAGUUGGCGCACCCGUCUGACCUUGACAACAACAAUGACAAUGACCCGUCGCCGCGUGACAAUGCCGUAGCAGCCGAAACGGGAGAUCACUCUGACUGUGACAGUCGGCUGGACGCAAUUGACAGUGUUCGGGGUCGCAUUUAACGUAAACAGGAUAUUUGAAUAACAUACAAACACCUUUUCCCUUGAACAAUGAUAAGUGAACUAGCAUUAUCUAUAUCUAAGAAAAUUACAGCAUAAGAACUUAUUUUUAACUCUUAAUGAAAUCAUGGAAGAGGAGAUAUUCAAACCAUUUUGCAUGCUAACACAUAGAAAUUCUACUAAAAAAGAUUUACUGGGAAGAAAAUUCAAAAAGUUUACAAAAUGCAACCCUCAAGCAACUGACCGGAACAUUACCUUAAUAUACACGUAUCAAUGGUCUCAAGGACGAGAUGGUCAGAUAGUGGACAGCCUAUAUGACGACAUUUGGACAAAACCCAAAAGGUAUCCAAUGUUCAGAUAAUCCGGCUGACCAGCUGACCAAUGCUCUGAUGUGACACUAUUGAUAUUACUUGACCAAAGAACCAUCUUGUGACAAAUACAAUCAGACUAACCACUAGUAGUAGUGGCCAACUUAUUUAGUUUAGAUGGCGAUUUGAGAACGGGGAGGAAGUGUCGAAUGUUUGUUUCUAAGAGAGAGGUAUAUUGAUAUUUGUAUUUUAUUUACUAUCGUCGGAUAGUCACUGCUGAUUUUGCUUUGGCGAUGAUAUAAUCCCGAAGCGAAAUCAGCAGUGGGUAUCCGACGAUGUCUGUUAACUAACAGAAAUAUGUUUGAAAAACAAACAGAAGAUGAUAUGCAUUAAGAAUUAAUUAAACAGGGGUUUGGAUCGCUUUAUAUAUAUACAGUUAUCCCGUUUCUGACAAGCUGAACCCAUUACCUUAGAAACGUAAGUAGUGGCUACUUACCCAUAACCUGGUGAUAUAAAGAGAUUCAAACCUCUGGAGUCACAAGGUUAUAUUACUGAAAACAAUGUUAAUUAACUGUUAUAGGUUGGCAACAAAGAACGUAUAUGCAAAACACAUUUGAGAGAAAGAAUAUUUUACAUUUAUAUUUUAACAACUGUCGGCAAUGCAAGAUCAUAUAUGAGUUGGCGGGGAUAUUUUGAAGUGAUGUGUUUUCGCCAUGUGAGGAUCCCACCUCCGAAAUUGUUUUUUUUUCCAAAUGAAAUACUAAUAAUAACAGAGAUUAGAGAGAUGUGAAAAUCACGACUUUUGCUAUUUUGCAUAUAUUUUGUUUGUGACUAGCCCUCAUCAAGCCCCUGUGUUCACUGUGAGACAGUAAAGGGCAUUUGUGAACAAGAAAUCUGUAUUUGUUUGACUGAUCCGUCCAUACCCCAUUCUAUGUAUACAGCUGAACAUGAUAAACAUUUAAGAACUACCUAAAUGAACAUUUUUGUUCUUGUGGUGGGGUCCAGUUUCGAGUUAGAAAUCGUAAAGAAAAAAACAUUUGGUCGAGGCAAGGGGUUUCUUAACCACAUUAACACCCUGGGAUUAAAUGAUAGCUGAGAAUAUUUUGAGGAAACAUGAAUUGCAGAAUAUGAUGGGAAUUUCUGGCACACGGUGAAAAGUUGUGUUAUAAACCCUUGUGGUGAAUAUGCUGUUAGCAUUAGCUGCAGUAAAAUCGCAGCUUUUUACUCAGUAAGCUAACGCAUCAUAAAGUGCAAAUGAUGUGUAAUCAGGAUAAAAUAAAGGGAUUAAAGUCGACCCAUACGUGUAACAUCACGACCAGUGAGGCAAUUUUUUUUACCACAUUAACACCCUGGGAUAAAAUGAUAGCUGAGAAUGUUUUAAGGAAACAUGAAUUACACAAUAUGAUGCGAAUUUCUGGCACACGGUGAAAAGUUGUGUUAUAAACCCUUGUGGUGAAUAUGCUGUUAGCAUUAGCUGCAGUAAAAUCGCAGCUUUUUACUCCGUAAGCUAAUGCAUCAUAAAGUGCAAAUGAUGUGCAAUCAGGACAAAAUGGGUUAAAAUAACAAAUACAUAUAUUCUGGUUCACAAUGCCCUGUGUAAGAAGAGAGAGGGAGAGAAUUGCCGUGAGUGAUAUUGUCGUUAAGGUACACGUGUUUGUCGAUAUGUGACGACCCGCUAUAAAGCUAGGGAUAGAAGUAGUGGAGUCUGAGGGAUUCAAGUCGACCCCAUACGUGUAGCAUUACGACCAGCGAGUGUAUGGAUAGUAAAACACUUCCUCCCAAUAAAUAACAUUAUAAUAAUCAUAAUUCUGUUAUGAAUUUGAACUAAUAAACAUGAUAUUAUUCAG